This 26-nucleotide non-coding RNA is filed under the name Homo sapiens (human). Lineage: Eukaryota; Metazoa; Chordata; Mammalia; Primates; Hominidae. The record is from RNAcentral.
UGGACUUGCCUUUGUGUUAUUUUCCU